GGGGAUUUAGCUCAGUGGCAUAAGCACCUGCCUUGCAAGCAGGAAGUCGUGAGUUCAAUCUCUG
RNAcentral lists this transfer RNA (64 nucleotides) under Cavia porcellus (domestic guinea pig). It matches the Rfam family "tRNA". Rfam says of the family: Transfer RNA (tRNA) molecules are approximately 80 nucleotides in length. Their secondary structure includes four short double-helical elements and three loops (D, anti-codon, and T loops). The record is from Rfam by way of RNAcentral. Lineage: Eukaryota; Metazoa; Chordata; Mammalia; Rodentia; Caviidae.